Non-coding RNA from Xyrichtys novacula (pearly razorfish), 19928 nucleotides. NCBI's taxonomy places the organism in Eukaryota, Metazoa, Chordata, Actinopteri, Labriformes, Labridae. The record is from the annotation of a GenBank genome assembly.
GAGCUGGAGUUGAACCAGCAACCUAAGGAAUACAGCAAUUUCUAUCGGGAAAUUCCUACAACCCUCCGCUCUACCAACUGAGCUAUCAGGGUGUUCUCUAGUCACAACUGCAGAAAACAUAGUGGCUGAGACAACACCCUAUGCCCACACAACUAUUGGAACCCAUAGUCAAUCAAAAGCCCAGCCUUACCUGCAGAACAAAGCUUUGCAGUUUGUACCCAACAGUCAUUGCCAGGGACCCAGAACUGAUAAUCAAGACUUUUAGGCUGGGUGAAUAAAAAAUUGAUGGUUGGAAAAUUAAGUUAUGUGUUUUUAAAUAUUGGAGGAGUUGACAGAUAAAGACAAGGCUUGGCUUUAUUUCAAUUUGACAUGCACAGGCUUGGAGCUGGAGUUGAACCAGCGACUUCAGGAUCACAGCAUUUCAGAUGAGAAACAUCCUACAGCCCUCCACUCUACCAACUGAGCUAUCAGGGUGUUCUCUAGUCACAAUUGCAGAAAACAUAGUGGCUGAGACAACACCCUAUGCCCACACAACUAUUGGAACCCAUAGUCAAUCAAAAGCCCAGCCCUACCUGCAGAACAAAGCUUUGCAGCUUGUACCCAACAGUCAUUGCCAGGGACCCAGAACUGAUAAUCAAGACUUUUAGGCUGGGUGAAUAAAAAAUUGAUGGUUGGAAAAUUAAGUUAUGUGGUUUGAAAUAUUGGAGGAGUUGACAGAUAAAGACAAGGCUUGGCUUUAUUUCAAUUUGACAUGCACAGGCUUGGAGCUGGAGUUGAACCGGCGACUUCAGGAUCACAGCGUUUCAGAUGAGGAACAUGCUACAGCCCUCCGCUCUACCAACUGAGCUAUCAGGGUGUUCUCUAGGCGCAAUCACAGAAAACAUAGUGGCUGAGACAACACCCUAUGCCCACACAACUAUUGGAACCCAUAGUCAAUCAAAAGCCCAGCCCUACCUGCAGAACAAAGCUUUGCAGUUUGUACCCAACAGUCAUUGCCAGGGACCCAGAACUGAUAAUCAAGGCUUUUAGGCUGGGUGAAUAAAAAAUUGAUGGUUGGAAAAUUAAGUUAUGUGGUUUGUGUUUUUAAAUAUUGGAGGAGUUGACAGAUAAAGACAAGGCUUGGCUUUAUUUCAAUUUGACAUGCACAGGCUUGGAGCUGGAGUUGAACCGGCGACUUCAGGAUCACAGCGUUUCAGAUGAGGAACAUCCUACAGCCCUCCGCUCUACCAACUGAGCUAUCAGGGUGUUCUCUAGUCACAAUUGCAGAAAACAUAGUGGCUGAGACAACACCCUAUGCCCACACAACUAUUGGAACCCAUAGUCAAUCAAAAGCCCAGCCCUACCUGCAGAACAAAGCUUUGCAGUUUGUACCCAACAGUCAUUGCCAGGGACCCAGAACUGAUAAUCAAGACUUUUAGGCUGGUUGAAUAAAAAAUUGAUGGUUGGAAAAUUAAGUUAUGUGGUUUUAAAUAUUGGAGGAGUUGACAGAUAAAGACAAGGCUUGGCUUUAUUUCAAUUUGACAUGCACAGGCUUGGAGCUGGAGUUGAACCGGCGACUUCAGGAUCACAGCGUUUCAGAUGAGGAACAUGCUACAGCCCUCCGCUCUACCAACUGAGCUAUCAGGGUGUUCUCUAGUCACAAUUGCAGAAAACAUAGUGGCUGAGACAACACCCUAUGCCCACACAACUAUUGGAACCCAUAGUCAAUCAAAAGCCCAGCCUUACCUGCAGAACAAAGCUUUGCAGUUUGUACCCAACAGUCAUUGCCAGGGACCCAGAACUGAUAAUCAAGACUUUUAGGCUGGGUGAAUAAAAAAUUGAUGGUUGGAAAAUUAAGUUAUGUGUUUUUAAAUAUUGGAGGAGUUGACAGAUAAAGACAAGGCUUGGCUUUAUUUCAAUUUGACAUGCACAGGCUUGGAGCUGGAGUUGAACCAGCGACUUCAGGAUCACAGCAUUUCAGAUGAGAGACAUCCUACAGCCCUCCACUCUACCAACUGAGCUAUCAGGAUGUUCUCUAGUCACAAUUGCAGAAAACAUAGUGGCUGAGACAACACCCUAUGCCCACACAACUAUUGGAACCCAUAGUCAAUCAAAAGCCCAGCCCUACCUGCAGAACAAAGCUUUGCAGCUUGUACCCAACAGUCAUUGCCAGGGACCCAGAACUGAUAAUCAAGACUUUUAGGCUGGGUGAAUAAAAAAUUGAUGGUUGGAAAAUUAAGUUAUGUGGUUUGAAAUAUUGGAGGAGUUGACAGAUAAAGACAAGGCUUGGCUUUAUUUCAAUUUGACAUGCACAGGCUUGGAGCUGGAGUUGAACCGGCGACUUCAGGAUCACAGCGUUUCAGAUGAGGAACAUCCUACAGCCCUCCGCUCUACCAACUGAGCUAUCAGGGUGUUCUCUAGUCACAAUUGCAGAAAACAUAGUGGCUGAGACAACACCCUAUGCCCACACAACUAUUGGAACCCAUAGUCAAUCAAAAGCCCAGCCCUACCUGCAGAACAAAGCUUUGCAGUUUGUACCCAACAGUCAUUGCCAGGGACCCAGAACUGAUAAUCAAGACUUUUAGGCUGGGUGAAUAAAAAACUGAUGGUUGGAAAAUUAAGUUAUGUUGUUUGUGUUUUUAAAUAUUGGAGGAGUUGACAGAUAAAGACAAGGCUUGGCUUUAUUUCAAUUUUAACAUGCAGAGGCUUGGAGCUGGAGUUGAACCGGCAACUUCAGGAUCACAGCGUUUCAGAUGAGGAACAUGCUACAGCCCUCCGCUCUACCAACUGAGCUAUCAGGGUGUUCUCUAGUCACAAUCGCAGAAAACAUAGUGGCUGAGACAACACCCUAUGCCCACACAACUAUUGGAACCCAUAGUCAAUCAAAAGCCCAGCCCUACCUGCAGAACAAAGCUUUGCAGUUUGUACCCAACAGUCAUUGCCAGGGACCCAGAACUGAUAAUCAAGACUUUUAGGCUGGGUGAAUAAAAAAUUGAUGGUUGGAAAAUUAAGUUAUGUGGUUUUAAAUAUUGGAGGAGUUGACAGAUAAAGACAAGGCUUGGCUUUAUUUCAAUUUGACAUGCACAGGCUUGGAGCUGGAGUUGAACCGGCGACUUCAGGAUCACAGCGUUUCAGAUGAGUAACAUCCUACAGCCCUCCGCUCUACCAACUGAGCUAUCAGGGUGUUCUCUAGUCACAAUUGCAGAAAACAUAGUGGCUGAGACAACAACCUAUGCCCACACAACUAUUGGAACCCAUAGUCAAUCAAAAGCCCAGCCCUACCUGCAGAACAAAGCUUUGCAGUUUGUACCCAACAGUCAUUGCCAGGGACCCAGAACUGAUAAUCAAGACUUUUAGGCUGGGUGAAUAAAAAACUGAUGGUUGGAAAAUUAAGUUAUGUUGUUUGUGUUUUUAAAUAUUGGAGGAGUUGACAGAUAAAGACAAGGCUUGGCUUUAUUUCAAUUUUAACAUGCACAGGCUUGGAGCUGGAGUUGAACCGGCGACUUCAGGAUCACAGCGUUUCAGAUGAGGAACAUGCUACAGCCCUCCGCUCUACCAACUGAGCUAUCAGGGUGUUCUCUAGUCACAAUUGCAGAAAACAUAGUGGCUGAGACAACACCCUAUGCCCACACAACUAUUGGAACCCAUAGUCAAUCAAAAGCCCAGUCCUACCUGCAGAACAAAGCUUUGCAGCUUGUACCCAACAGUCAUUGCCAGGGACCCAGAACUGAUAAUCAAGACUUUUAGGCUGGGUGAAUAAAAAACUGAUGGUUGGAAAAUUAAGUUAUGUGGUUUGUGUUUUUAAAUAUUGGAGGAGUUGACAGAUAAAGACAAGGCUUGGCUUUAUUUCAAUUUGACAUGGACAGGUUUGGAGCUGGAGUUGAACCGGCGACUUCAGGAUCACAGCAUUUCAGAUGAGGAACAUCCUACAGCCCUCCGCUCUACCAACUGAGCUAUCAGGGUGUUCUCUAGUCACAAUUGCAGAAAACAUAGUGGCUGAGACAACACCCUAUGCACACGCAACUAUUGGAACCCAUAGUCAAUCAAAAGCCCAGCCCUACCUGCAGAACAAAGCUUUGCAGUUUGUACCCAACAGUCAUUGCCAGGGACCCAGAACUGAUAAUCAAGACUUUUAGGCUGGGUGAAUAAAAAAUUGACUGUUGGAAAAUUAAGUUAUGUGGUUUGUGUUUUUAAAUAUUGGAGGAGUUGACAGAUAAAGACAAGGCUUGGCUUUAUUUCAAUUUGACAUGCACAGGCUUGGAGCUGGAGUUGAACCGGCGACUUCAGGAUCACAGCGUUUCAGAUGAGGAACAUCCUACAGCCCUCCGCUCUACCAACUGAGCUAUCAGGGUGUUCUCUAGUCACAAUUGCAGAAAACAUAGUGGCUGAGACAACACCCUAUGCCCACACAACUAUUGGAACCCAUAGUCAAUCAAAAGCCCAGCCCUACCUGCAGAACAAAGCUUUUCAGUUUGUACCCAACAGUCAUUGCCAGGGACCCAGAACUGAUAAUCAAGACUUUUAGGCUGGGUGAAUAAAAAAUUGACUGUUGGAAAAUUAAGUUAUGUGUUUUUAAAUAUUGGAGGAGUUGACAGAUAAAGACAAGGCUUGGCUUUAUUUCAAUUUGACAUGCACAGGCUUGGAGCUGGAGUUGAACCGGCGACUUCAGGAUCACAGCGUUUCAGAUGAGGAACAUCCUAGAGCUCUCCACUCUACCAACUGAGCUAUCAGGGUGUUCUCUAGUCACAAUUGCAGAAAACAUAGUGGCUGAGACAACACCCUAUGAUCACACAACUAUUGGAACCCAUAGUCAAUCAAAAGCCCAGCCCUACCUGCAGAACAAAGCUUUGCAGUUUGUACCCAACAGUCAUUGCCAGGGACCCAGAACUGAUAAUCAAGACUUUUAGGCUGGGUGAAUAAAAAAUUGAUGGUUGGAAAAUUAAGUUAUGUGUUUUAAAAUAUUGGAGGAGUUGACAGAUAAAGACAAGGCUUGGCCUUAUUUCAAUUUGACAUGCACAGGCUUGGAGCUGGAGUUGAACCGGCGACUUCAGGAUCACAGCGUUUCAGAUGAGAAACAUCCUACAGCCCUCCGCUCUACCAACUGAGCUAUCAGGGUGUUCUCUAGUCACAAUUGCAGAAAACAUAGUGGCUGAGACAACACCCUAUGCCCACACAACUAUUGGAACCCAUAGUCAAUCAAAAGCCCAGCCCUAGCUGCAGAACAAAGCUUUGCAGCUUGUACCCAACAGUCAUUGCCAGGGACCCAGAACUGAUAAUCAAGACUUUUAGGCUGGGUGAAUAAAAAAUUGAUGGUUGGAAAAUUAAGUUAUGUUUGUGGUUUUAAAUAUUGGAGGAGUUGACAGAUAAAGACAAGGCUUGGCUUUAUUUCAAUUUGACAUGCACAGGCUUGGAGCUGGAGUUGAACCGGCGACUUCAGGAUCACAGCGUUUCAGAUGAGGAACAUCCUACAGCCCUCCGCUCUACCAACUGAGCUAUCAGGGUGUUCUCUAGUCACAAUUGCAGAAAACAUAGUGGCUGAGACAACACCCUAUGCCCACACAACUAUUGGAACCCAUAGUCAAUCAAAAGCCCAGCCCUACCUGCAGAACAAAGCUUUGCAGUUUGUACCCAACAGUCAUUGCCAAGGACCCAUAACUGAUAAUCAAGACUUUCAGGCUGGGUGAAUAAAAAAUUGAUGGUUGGAAAAUUAAGUUAUGUGGUUUGUGUUUUUAAAUAUUGGAGGAGUUGACAGAUAAAGGCAAGGCUUGGCUUUAUUUCAAUUUGACAUGCACAGGCUUGGAGCUGGAGUUGAACCGGCGACUUCAGGAUCACAGCGUUUCAGAUGAGGAACAUCCUACAGCCGUCCGCUCUACCAACUGAGCUAUCAGGGUGUUCUCUAGCCACAAUUGCAGAAAACAUAGUGAUUGAGACAACACCCUAUGCCCACACAACUAUUGGAACCCAUAGUCAAUCAAAAGCCCAGCCCUACCUGCAGAACAAAGCUUUGCAGCUUGUACCCAACAGUCAUUGCCAGGGACCCAGAACUGAUAAUCAAGACUUUUAGGUUGGGUGAAUAAAAAACUGAUGGUUGGAAAAUUAAGUUAUGUUGUUUGUGUUUUUAAAUAUUGGAGGAGUUGACAGAUAAAGACAAGGCUUGGCUUUAUUUCAAUUUUAACAUGCACAGGCUUGGAGCUGGAGUUGAACCAGCGACUUCAGGAUGACAGCGUUUCAGAUGAGGAAUAUGCUACAGCCCUCCGCUCUACCAACUGAGCUAUCAGGGUGUUCUCUAGUCACAAUCGCAGAAAACAUAGUGGCUGAGACAACACCCUAUGCCCACACAACUAUUGGAACCCAUAGUCAAUCAAAAGCCCAGCCCUUCCUGCAGAACAAAGCUUUGCAGUUUGUACCCAACAGUCAUUGCCAGGGACCCAGAACUGAUAAUCAAGACUUUUAGGCUGGGUAAAUAAAAAAUUGACUGUUGGAAAAUUAAGUUAUGUGUUUUUAAAUAUUGGAGGAGUUGACAGAUAAAGACAAGGCUUGGCUUUAUUUCAAUUUGACAUGCACAGGCUUGGAGCUGGAGUUGGACCGGCGACUUCAGGAUCACAGCGUUUCAGAUGAGGAACAUCCUACAGCCCUCCGCUCUACCAACUGAGCUAUCAGGGUGUUCUCUAGUCACAAUUGCAGAAAACAUAGUGGCUGAGACAACACCCUAUGCCCACACAACUAUUGGAACCCAUAGUCAAUCAAAAGCCCAGCCCUACCUGCAGAACAAAGCUUUGCAGCUUGUACCCAACAGUCAUUGCCAGGGACCCAGAACUGAUAACCAAGACUUUUAGGCUGGGUGAAUAAAAAAUUGAUGGUUGGAAAAUUAAGUUAUGUGGUUUUAAAUAUUGGAGGAGUUGACAGAUAAAGACAAGGCUUGGCUUUAUUUCAAUUUGACAUGCACAGGCUUGGAGCUGGAGUUGAACCAGCGACUUCAGGAUCACAGCGUUUCAGAUGAGGAACAUCCUACAGCCCUCCGCUCUACCAACUGAGCUAUCAGGGUGUUCUCUAGUCACAAUCGCAGAAAACAGUGGCUGAGACAACACCCUAUGCCCACACAACUAUUGGAACCCAUAGUCAAUCAAAAGCCCAGCCCUACCUGCAGAACAAAGCUUUGCAGUUUGUACCCAACAGUCAUUGCCAGGGACCCAGAACUGAUAAUCAAGACUUUUAGGCUGGGUGAAUAAAAAAUUGACUGUUGGAAAAUUAAGUUAUGUGUUUUUAAAUAUUGGAGGAGUUGACAGAUAAAGACAAGGCUUGGCUUUAUUUCAAUUUGACAUGCACAGGCUUGGAGCUGGAGUUGAACCGGCGACUUCAGGAUCACAGCGUUUCAGAUGAGGAACAUCCUACAGCACUCCGCUCUACCAACUGAGCUAUCAGGGUGUUCUCUAGUCACAAUUGCAGAAAACAUAGUGGCUGAGACAACACCCUAUGCCCACACAACUAUUGGAACCCAUAGUCAAUCAAAAGCCCAGCCCUACCUGCAGAACAAAGCUUUGCAGUUUGUACCCAACAGUCAUUGCCAGGGACCCAGAACUGAUAAUCAAGACUUUUAGGCUGGGUGAAUAAAAAACUGAUGGUUGGAAAAUUAAGUUAUGUUGUUUGUGUUUUUAAAUAUUGGAGGAGUUGACAGAUAAAGACAAGGCUUGGCUUUAUUUCAAUUUUAACAUGCACAGGCUUGGAGCUGGAGUUGAACGAGCGACUUCAGGAUCACAGCGUUUCAGAUGAGGAACAUGCUACAGCGCUCCGCUCUACCAACUGAGCUAUCAGGGUGUUCUCUAGUCACAAUCGCAGAAAACAUAGUGGCUGGGACAACACCCUAUGCCCACACAACUAUUGGAACCCAUAGUCAAUCAAAAGCCCAGCCCUACCUGCAGAACAAAGCUUUGCAGUUUGUACCCAACAGUCAUUGCCAGGGACCCAGAACUGAUAAUCAAGACUUUUAGGCUGGGUGAAUAAAAAAUUGAUGGUUGGAAAAUUAAGUUAUGUGUUUUUAAAUAUUGGAGGAGUUGACAGAUAAAGACAAGGCUUGGCUUUAUUUCAAUUUGACAUGCACAGGCUUGGAGCUGGAGUUGAACCGGCGACUUCAGGAUCACAGCGUUUCAGAUGAGAAACAUCCUACAGCCCUCCGCUCUACCAACGGCGCUAUCAGGGUGUUCUCUAGUCACAAUUGCAGAAAACAUAGUGGCUGAGACAACACCCUAUGCCCACACAACUAUUGGAACCCAUAGUCAAUCAAAAGCCCAGCCCUACCUGCAGAACAAAGCUUUGCAGCUUGUACCCAACAGUCAUUGCCAGGGACCCAGAACUGAUAAUCAAGACUUUUAGGCUGGGUGAAUAAAAAACUGAUGGUUGGAAAAUUAAGUUAUGUGGUUUGUGUUUUUAAAUAUUGGAGGAGUUGACAGAUAAAGACAAGGCUUGGCUUUAUUUCAAUUUGACAUGCACAGGCUUGGAGCUGGAGUUGAACCGGCGACUUCAGGAUCACAGCGUUUCAGAUGAGGAACAUCCUACAGCACUCCGCUCUACCAACUGAGCUAUCAGGGUGUUCUCUAGUCACAAUUGCAGAAAACAUAGUGGCUGAGACAACACCCUAUGCCCACACAACUAUUGGAACCCAUAGUCAAUCAAAAGCCCAGCCCUACCUGCAGAACAAAGCUUUGCAGUUUGUACCCAACAGUCAUUGCCAGGGACCCAGAACUGAUAAUCAAGACUUUUAGGCUGGGUGAAUAAAAAACUGAUGGUUGGAAAAUUAAGUUAUGUGGUUUGUGGUUUUAAAUAUUGGAGGAGUUGACAGAUAAAGACAAGGCUUGGCUUUAUUUCAAUUUGACAUGCACAGGCUUGGAGCUGGAGUUGAACCGGCGACUUCAGGAUCACAGCGUUUCAGAUUAGGAACAUCCUACAGCCCUCCGCUCUACCAACUGAGCUAUCAGGGUGUUCUCUAGUCACAAUUGCAGAAAACAUAGUGGCUGAGACAACACCCUAUGCCCACACAACUAUUGGAACCCAUAGUCAAUCAAAAGCCCAGCCCUACCUGCAGAACAAAGCUUUGCAGUUUGUACCCAACAGUCAUUGCCAGGGACCCAGAACUGAUAAUCAAGACUUUUAGGCUGGGUGAAUAAAAAAUUGAUGGUUGGAAAAUUAAGUUAUGUGUUUUUAAAUAUUGGAGGAGUUGACAGAUAAAGACAAGGCUUGGCUUUAUUUCAAUUUGACAUGCACAGGCUUGGAGCUGGAGUUGAGCCGGCGACUUCAGGAUCACAGCGUUUCAGAUGAGGAACAUCCUACAGCUCUCCGCUCUACCAACUGAGCUAUCAGGGUGUUCUCUAGUCACAAUUGCAGAAAACAUAGUGGCUGAGACAACACCCUAUGCCCACACAACUAUUGGAACCCAUAGUCAAUCAAAAGCCCAGCCCUACCUGCAGAACAAAGCUUUGCAGCUUGUACCCAACAGUCAUUGCCAGGGACCCAGAACUGAUAAUCAAGACUUUUAGGCUGGGUGAAUAAAAAAAUUGAUGGUUGGAAAAUUAAGUUAUGUGGUUUGUGGUUUUAAAUAUUGGAGGAGUUGACAGAUAAAGACAAGGCUUGGCUUUAUUUCAAUUUGACAUGCACAGGCUUGGAGCUGGAGUUGAACCGGCGACUUCAGGAUCACAGCGUUUCAGAUGAGGAACAUCCUACAGCCCUCAGCUCUACCAACUGAGCUAUGAGGGUGUUCUCUAGACACAAUUGCAGAAAACAUAGUGGCUGAGACAACACCCUAUGCCCACACAACUAUUGGAACCCAUAGUCAAUCAAAAGCCCAGCCCUACCUGCAGAACAAAGCUUUGCAGCUUGUACCCAACAGUCAUUGCCAGGGACCCAGAACUGAUAAUCAAGACUUUUAGGCUGGGUGAAUAAAAAACUGAUGGUUGGAAAAUUAAGUUAUGUGGUUUGACAUAUUGGAGGAGUUGACAGAUAAAGACAAGGCUUGGCUUUAUUUCAAUUUGACAUGCACAGGCUUGGAGCUGGAGUUGAACCGGCGACUUCAGGAUCACAGCGUUUCAGAUGAGGAACAUCCUACAGCCCUCCGCUCUAACAACUGAGCUAUCAGGGUGUUCUCUAGUCACAAUUGCAGAAAACAUAGUGGCUGAGACAACACCCUAUGCCCACACAACUAUUGGAACCCAUAGUCAAUCAAAAGCCCAGCCCUACCUGCAGAACAAAGCUUUGCAGUUUGUACCCAACAGUCAUUGCCAGAGACCCAGAACUGAUAAUCAAGACUUUUAGGCUGGGUGAAUAAAAAAUUGAUGGUUGGAAAAUUAAGUUAUGUGGUUUUAAAUAUUGGAGGAGUUGACAGAUAAAGACAAGGCUUGGCUUUAUUUCAAUUUGACAUGCACAGGCUUGGAGCUGGAGUUGAACCGGCGACUUCAGGAUCACAGCGUUUCAGAUGAGGAACAUCCUACAGCCCUCCGCUCUACCAACUGAGCUAUCAGGGUGUUCUCUAGUCACAAUUGCAGAAAACAUAGUGGCUGAGACAACACCCUAUGCCCACACAACUAUUGGAACCCAUAGUCAAUCAAAAGCCCAGCCCUACCUGCAGAACAAAGCUUUGCAGUUUGUACCCAACAGUCAUUGCCAGGGACCCAGAACUGAUAAUCAUGACUUUUAGGCUGGGUGAAUAAAAAACUGAUGGUUGGAAAAUUAAGUUAUGUGGUUUGUGGUUUUAAAUAUUUGAGGAGUUGACAGAUAAAGACAAGGCUUGGCUUUAUUUCAAUUUGACAUGCACAGGCUUGGAGCUGGAGUUGAACCGGCGACUUCAGGAUCACAGCGUUUCAGAUGAGGAACAUCCUACAGCCCUCCGCUCUACCAACUGAGCUAUCAGGGUGUUCUCUAGUCACAAUUGCAGAAAACAUAGUGGCUGAGACAACACCCUAUGCCCACACAACUAUUGGAACCCAUAGUCAAUCAAAAGCCCAGCCCUACCUGCAGAACAAAGCUUUGCAGUUUGUACCCAACAGUCAUUGCAAGGGACCCAGAACUGAUAAUCAAGACUUUUAGGCUGGGUGAAUAAAAAAUUGAUGGUUGGAAAAUUAAGUUAUGUGGUUUGUGUUUUUAAAUAUUGGAGGAGUUGACAGAUAAAGACAAGGCUUGGCUUUAUUUCAAUUUGACAUGCACAGGCUUGGAGCUGGAGUUGAACCGGCGACUUCAGGAUCACAGCGUUUCAGAUGAGGAACAUCCUACAGCACUCCGCUCUACCAACUGAGCUAUCAGGGUGUUCUCUAGUCACAAUUGCAGAAAACAUAGUGGCUGAGACAACACCCUAUGCCCACACAACUAUUGGAACCCAUAGUCAAUCAAAAGCCCAGCCCUACCUGCAGAACAAAGCUUUGCAGUUUGUACCCAACAGUCAUUGCCAGGGACCCAGAACUGAUAAUCAAGACUUUUAGGCUGGGUGAAUAAAAAACUGAUGGUUGGAAAAUUAAGUUAUGUUGUUUGUGUUUUUAAGUAUUGGAGGAGUUGACAGAUAAAGACAAGGCUUGGCUUUAUUUCAAUUUUAACAUGCACAGGCUUGGAGCUGGAGUUGAACGAGCGACUUCAGGAUCACAGCGUUUCAGAUGAGGAACAUGCUACAGCGCUCCGCUCUACCAACUGAGCUAUCAGGGUGUUCUCUAGUCACAAUCGCAGAAAACAUAGUGGCUGGGACAACACCCUAUGCCCACACAACUAUUGGAACCCAUAGUCAAUCAAAAGCCCAGCCCUACCUGCAGAACAAAGCUUUGCAGUUUGUACCCAACAGUCAUUGCCAGGGACCCAGAACUGAUAAUCAAGACUUUUAGGCUGGGUGAAUAAAAAAUUGAUGGUUGGAAAAUUAAGUUAUGUGUUUUUAAAUAUUGGAGGAGUUGACAGAUAAAGACAAGGCUUGGCUUUAUUUCAAUUUGACAUGCACAGGCUUGGAGCUGGAGUUGAACCGGCGACUUCAGGAUCACAGCGUUUCAGAUGAGAAACAUCCUACAGCCCUCCGCUCUACCAACGGCGCUAUCAGGGUGUUCUCUAGUCACAAUUGCAGAAAACAUAGUGGCUGAGACAACACCCUAUGCCCACACAACUAUUGGAACCCAUAGUCAAUCAAAAGCCCAGCCCUACCUGCAGAACAAAGCUUUGCAGCUUGUACCCAACAGUCAUUGCCAGGGACCCAGAACUGAUAAUCAAGACUUUUAGGCUGGGUGAAUAAAAAACUGAUGGUUGGAAAAUUAAGUUAUGUGGUUUGUGUUUUUAAAUAUUGGAGGAGUUGACAGAUAAAGACAAGGCUUGGCUUUAUUUCAAUUUGACAUGCACAGGCUUGGAGCUGGAGUUGAACCGGCGACUUCAGGAUCACAGCGUUUCAGAUGAGGAACAUCCUACAGCCGUCCGCUCUACCAACUGAGCUAUCAGGGUGUUCUCUAGUCACAAUUGCAGAAAACAUAGUGGCUGAGACAACACCCUAUGCCCACACAACUAUUGGAACCCAUAGUCAAUCAAAAGCCCAGCCCUAGCUGCAGAACAAAGCUUUGCAGCUUGUACCCAACAGUCAUUGCCAGGGACCCAGAACUGAUAAUCAAGACUUUUAGGCUGGGUGAAUAAAAAAUUGAUGGUUGGAAAAUUAAGUUAUGUGGUUUGUGGUUUUAAAUAUUGGAGGAGUUGACAGAUAAAGACAAGGCUUGGCUUUAUUUCAAUUUGACAUGCACAGGCUUGGAGCUGGAGUUGAACCGGCGACUUCAGGAUCACAGCGUUUCAGAUGAGGAACAUCCUACAGCCCUCCGCUUUACCAACUGAGCUAUCAGGGUGUUCUGUAGUCACAAUUGCAGAAAACAUAGUGGCUGAGACAACACCCUAUGCCCACACAACUAUUGGAACCCAUAGUCAAUCAAAAGCCCAGCCCUACCUGCAGAACAAAGCUUUGCAGCUUGUACCCAACAGUCAUUGCCAGGGACCCAGAACUGAUAAUCAAGACUUUUAGGCUGGGUGAAUAAAAAACUGAUGGUUGGAAAAUUAAGUUAUGUGGUUUGUGUUUUUAAAUAUUGGAGGAGUUGACAGAUAAAGAGAAGGCUUGGCUUUAUUUCAAUUUGACAUGCACAGGCUUGGAGCUGGAGUUGAACUGGCGACUUCAGGAUCACAGCGUUUCAGAUGAGGAACAUCCUACAGCCCUCCGCUCUACCAACUGAGCUAUCAGGGUGUUCUCUAGUCACAAUUGCAGAAAACAUAGUGGCUGAGACAACACCCUAUGCCCACACAACUAUUGGAACCCAUAGUCAAUCAAAAGCCCAGCCCUACCUGCAGAACAAAGCUUUGCAGUUUGUACCCAACAGUCAUUGCCAGGGACCCAGAACUGAUAAUCAAGACUUUUAGGCUGGGUGAAUAAAAAACUGAUGGUUGGAAAAUUAAGUUAUGUGGUUUGUGGUUUUAAAUAUUGGAGGAGUUGACAGAUAAAGACAAGGCUUGGCUUUAUUUCAAUUUGACAUGCACAGGCUUGGAGCUGGAGUUGAACCGGCGACUUCAGGAUCACAGCGUUUCAGAUUAGGAACAUCCUACAGCCCUCCGCUCUACCAACUGAGCUAUCAGGGUGUUCUCUAGUCACAAUUGCAGAAAACAUAGUGGCUGAGACAACACCCUAUGCCCACACAACUAUUGGAACCCAUAGUCAAUCAAAAGCCCAGCCCUACCUGCAGAACAAAGCUUUGCAGUUUGUACCCAACAGUCAUUGCCAGGGACCCAGAACUGAUAAUCAAGACUUUUAGGCUGGGUGAAUAAAAAAUUGAUGGUUGGAAAAUUAAGUUAUGUGUUUUUAAAUAUUGGAGGAGUUGACAGAUAAAGACAAGGCUUGGCUUUAUUUCAAUUUGACAUGCACAGGCUUGGAGCUGGAGUUGAACCGGCGACUUCAGGAUCACAGCGUUUCAGAUGAGGAACAUCCUACAGCUCUCCGCUCUACCAACUGAGCUAUCAGGGUGUUCUCUAGUCACAAUUGCAGAAAACAUAGUGGCUGAGACAACACCCUAUGCCCACACAACUAUUGGAACCCAUAGUCAAUCAAAAGCCCAGCCCUACCUGCAGAACAAAGCUUUGCAGCUUGUACCCAACAGUCAUUGCCAGGGACCCAGAACUGAUAAUCAAGACUUUUAGGCUGGGUGAAUAAAAAAAUUGAUGGUUGGAAAAUUAAGUUAUGUGGUUUGUGGUUUUAAAUAUUGGAGGAGUUGACAGAUAAAGACAAGGCUUGGCUUUAUUUCAAUUUGACAUGCACAGGCUUGGAGCUGGAGUUGAACCGGCGACUUCAGGAUCACAGCGUUUCAGAUGAGGAACAUCCUACAGCCCUCAGCUCUACCAACUGAGCUAUCAGGGUGUUCUCUAGCCACAAUUGCAGAAAACAUAGUGGCUGAGACAACACCCUAUGCCCACACAACUAUUGGAACCCAUAGUCAAUCAAAAGCCCAGCCCUACCUGCAGAACAAAGCUUUGCAGCUUGUACCCAACAGUCAUUGCCAGGGACCCAGAACUGAUAAUCAAGACUUUUAGGCUGGGUGAAUAAAAAACUGAUGGUUGGAAAAUUAAGUUAUGUGGUUUGACAUAUUGGAGGAGUUGACAGAUAAAGACAAGGCUUGGCUUUAUUUCAAUUUGACAUGCACAGGCUUGGAGCUGGAGUUGAACCGGCGACUUCAGGAUCACAGCGUUUCAGAUGAGGAACAUCCUACAGCCCUCCGCUCUACCAACUGAGCUAUCAGGGUGUUCUCUAGUCACAAUUGCAGAAAACAUAGUGGCUGAGACAACACCCUAUGCCCACACAACUAUUGGAACCCAUAGUCAAUCAAAAGCCCAGCCCUACCUGCAGAACAAAGCUUUGCAGUUUGUACCCAACAGUCAUUGCCAGAGACCCAGAACUGAUAAUCAAGACUUUUAGGCUGGGUGAAUAAAAAAUUGAUGGUUGGAAAAUUAAGUUAUGUGGUUUUAAAUAUUGGAGGAGUUGACAGAUAAAGACAAGGCUUGGCUUUAUUUCAAUUUGACAUGCACAGGCUUGGAGCUGGAGUUGAACCGGCGACUUCAGGAUCACAGCGUUUCAGAUGAGGAACAUCCUACAGCCCUCCGCUCUACCAAGUGAGCUAUCAGGGUGUUCUCUAGUCACAAUUGCAGAAAACAUAGUGGCUGAGACAACACCCUAUGCCCACACAACUAUUGGAACCCAUAGUCAAUCAAAAGCCCAGCCCUACCUGCAGAACAAAGCUUUGCAGUUUGUACCCAACAGUCAUUGCCAGGGACCCAGAACUGAUAAUCAAGACUUUUAGGCUGGGUGAAUAAAAAAUUGAUGGUUGGAAAAUUAAGUUAUGUGGUUUGUGUUUUUAAAUAUUGGAGGAGUUGACAGAUAAAGACAAGGCUUGGCUUUAUUUCAAUUUGACAUGCACAGGCUUGGAGCUGGAGUUGAACCGGCAACUUCAGGAUCACAGCGUUUCAGAUGAGGAACAUCCUACAGCCCUCAGCUCUACCAACUGAGCUAUCAGGGUGUUCUCUAGCCACAAUUGCAGAAAACAUAGUGGCUGAGACAACACCCUAUGCCCACACAACUAUUGGAACCCAUAGUCAAUCAAAAGCCCAGCCCUACCUGCAGAACAAAGCUUUGCAGCUUGUACCCAACAGUCAUUGCCAGGGACUCAGAACUGAUAAUCAAGACUUUUAGGCUGGGUGAAUAAAAAACUGAUGGUUGGAAAAUUAAGUUAUGUGGUUUGUGGUUUUAAAUAUUGGAGGAGUUGACAGAUAAAGACAAGGCUUGGCUUUAUUUCAAUUUGACAUGCACAGGCUUGGAGCUGGAGUUGAACCGGCGACUUCAGGAUCACAGCGUUUCAGAUGAGGAACAUCCUACAGCCCUCCGCUCUACCAACUGAGCUAUCAGGGUGUUCUCUAGUCACAAUUGCAGAAAACAUAGUGGCUGAGACAACACCCUAUGCCCACACAACUAUUGGAACCCAUAGUCAAUCAAAAGCCCAGCCCUACCUGCAGAACAAAGCUUUGCAGUUUGUACCCAACAGUCAUUGCCAGGGACCCAGAACUGAUAAUCAAGACUUUUAGGCUGGGUGAAUAAAAAAUUGAUGGUUGGAAAAUUAAGUUAUGUGGUUUGUGUUUUUAAAUAUUGGAGGAGUUGACAGAUAAAGACAAGGCUUGGCUUUAUUUCAAUUUGACAUGCACAGGCUUGGAGCUGGAGUUGAACCAGCGACUUCAGGAUCACAGCGUUUCAGAUGAGGAACAUCCUACAGCCCUCCGCUCUACCAAGUGAGCUAUCAGGGUGUUCUCUAGUCACAAUUGCAGAAAACAUAGUGGCUGAGACAACACCCUAUGCCCACACAACUAUUGGAACCCAUAGUCAAUCAAAAGCCCAGCCCUACCUGCAGAACAAAGCUUUGCAGUUUGUACCCAACAGUCAUUGCCAGGGACCCAGAACUGAUAAUCAAGACUUUUAGGCUGGGUGAAUAAAAAAUUGAUGGUUGGAAAAUUAAGUUAUGUGGUUUGUGUUUUUAAAUAUUGGAGGAGUUGACAGAUAAAGACAAGGCUUGGCUUUAUUUCAAUUUGACAUGCACAGGCUUGGAGCUGGAGUUGAACCGGCGACUUCAGGAUCACAGCGUUUCAGAUGAGGAACAUCCUACAGGCCUCAGCUCUACCAACUGAGCUAUCAGGGUGUUCUCUAGCCACAAUUGCAGAAAACAUAGUGGCUGAGACAACACCCUAUGCCCACACAACUAUUGGAACCCAUAGUCAAUCAAAAGCCCAGCCCUACCUGCAGAACAAAGCUUUGCAGCUUGUACCCAACAGUCAUUGCCAGGGACCCAGAACUGAUAAUCAAGACUUUUAGGCUGGGUGAAUAAAAAACUGAUGGUUGGAAAAUUAAGUUAUGUGGUUUGUGGUUUUAAAUAUUGGAGGAGUUGACAGAUAAAGACAAGGCUUGGCUUUAUUUCAAUUUGACAUGCACAGGCUUGGAGCUGGAGUUGAACCGGCGACUUCAGGAUCACAGCGUUUCAGAUGAGGAACAUCCUACAGCUCUCCGCUCUACCAACUGAGCUAUCAGGGUGUUCUCUAGUCACAAUUGCAGAAAACAUAGUGGCUGAGACAACACCCUAUGCCCACACAACUAUUGGAACCCAUAGUCAAUCAAAAGCCCAGCCCUACCUGCAGAACAAAGCUUUGCAGUUUGUACCCAACAGUCAUUGCCAGGGACCCAGAACUGAUAAUCAAGACUUUUAGGCUGGUUGAAUAAAAAAUUGAUGGUUGGAAAAUUAAGUUAUGUGGUUUGUGUUUUUAAAUAUUGGAGGAGUUGACAGAUAAAGACAAGGCUUGGCUUUAUUUCAAUUUGACAUGCACAGGCUUGGAGCUGGAGUUGAACCGGCGACUUCAGGAUCACAGCGUUUCAGAUAAGGAACAUCCUACAGCCCUCCGCUCUACCAACUGAGCUAUCAGGGUGUUCUCUAGUCACAAUUGCAGAAAACAUAGUGGCUGAGACAACACCCUAUGCCCACACAACUAUUGGAACCCAUAGUCAAUCAAAAGCCCAGCCCUACCUGCAGAACAAAGCUUUGCAGUUUGUACCCAACAGUCAUUGCCAGGGACCCAGAACUGAUAAUCAAGACUUUUAGGCUGGUUGAAUAAAAAAUUGAUGGUUGGAAAAUUAAGUUAUGUGGUUUUAAAUAUUGGAGGAGUUGACAGAUAAAGACAAGGCUUGGCUUUAUUUCAAUUUGACAUGCACAGGCUUGGAGCUGGAGUUGAACCGGCGACUUCAGGAUCACAGCGUUUCAGAUGAGGAACAUCCUACAGCCCUCCGCUCUACCAACUGAGCUAUCAGGGUGUUCUCUAGUGACAAUUGAGAAAACAUAGUGGCUGAGACAACACCCUAUGCCCACACAACUAUUGGAACCCAUAGUCAAUCAAAAGCCCAGCCCUACCUGCAGAACAAAGCUUUGCAGUUUGUACCCAACAGUCAUUGCCAGGGACCCAGAACUGAUUAUCAAGACUUUUAGGCUGGGUGAAUAAAAAACUGAUGGUUGGAAAAUUAAGUUAUGUUGUUUGUGUUUUUAAACAUUGGAGGAGUUGACAGAUAAAGACAAGGCUUGGCUUUAUUUCAAUUUUAACAUGCACAGGCUUGGAGCUGGAGUUGAACCAGCGACUUCAGGAUCACAGCGUUUCAGAUGAGGAACAUGCUACAGCCCUCCGCUCUACCAACUGAGCUAUCAGGGUGUUCUCUAGUCACAAUCGCAGAAAACAUAGUGGCUGAGACAACACCCUAUGCCCACACAACUAUUGGAACCCAUAGUCAAUCAAAAGCCCAGCCCUACCUGCAGAACAAAGCUUUGCAGCUUGUACCCAACAGUCAUUGCCAGGGACCCAGAACUGAUAAUCAAGACUUUUAGGCUGGGUGAAUAAAAAAUUGAUGGUUGGAAAAUUAAGUUAUGUGGUUUUAAAUAUUGGAGGAGUUGACAGAUAAAGACAAGGCUUGGCUUUAUUUCAAUUUGACAUGCACAGGCUUGGAGCUGGAGUUGAACCGGCGACUUCAGGAUCACAGCGUUUCAGAUGAGGAACAUCCUACAGCCCUCCGCUCUACCAACUGAGCUAUCAGGGUGUUCUCUAGUCACAAUUGCAGAAAACAUAGUGGCUGAGACAACACCCUAUGCCCACACAACUAUUGGAACCCAUAGUCAAUCAAAAGCCCAGCCCUACCUGCAGAACAAAGCUUUGCAGUUUGUACCCAACAGUCAUUGCCAGGGACCCAGAACUGAUAAUCAAGACUUUUAGGCUGGGUGAAUAAAAAACUGAUGGUUGGAAAAUUAAGUUAUGUGGUUUGUGGUUUUAAAUAUUGGAGGAGUUGACAGAUAAAGACAAGGCUUGGCUUUAUUUCAAUUUGACAUGCACAGGCUUGGAGCUGGAGUUGAACCGGCGACUUCAGGAUCACAGCGUUUCAGAUGAGGAACAUCCUACAGCCCUCCGCUCUACCAACUGAGCUAUCAGGGUGUUCUCUAGUCACAAUUGCAGAAAACAUAGUGGCUGAGACAACACCCUAUGCCCACACAACUAUUGGAACCCAUAGUCAAUCAAAAGCCCAGCCCUACCUGCAGAACAAAGCUUUGCAGUUUGUACCCAACAGUCAUUGCCAGGGACCCAGAACUGAUAAUCAAGACUUUUAGGCUGGGUGAAUAAAAAAUUGAUGGUUGGAAAAUUAAGUUAUGUGGUUUGUGUUUUUAAAUAUUGGAGGAGUUGACAGAUAAAGACAAGGCUUGGCUUUAUUUCAAUUUGACAUGCACAGGCUUGGAGCUGGAGUUGAACCGGCGACUUCAGGAUCACAGCGUUUCAGAUGAGGAACAUCCUACAGCCCUCAGCUCUACCAACUGAGCUAUGAGGGUGUUCUCUAGCCACAAUUGCAGAAAACAUAGUGGCUGAGACAACACCCUAUGCCCACACAACUAUUGGAACCCAUAGUCAAUCAAAAGCCCAGCCCUACCUGCAGAACAAAGCUUUGCAGCUUGUACCCAACAGUCAUUGCCAGGGACCCAGAACUGAUAAUCAAGACUUUUAGGCUGGGUGAAUAAAAAACUGAUGGUUGGAAAAUUAAGUUAUGUGGUUUGUGGUUUUAAAUAUUGGAGGAGUUGACAGAUAAAGACAAGGCUUGGCUUUAUUUCAAUUUGACAUGCACAGGCUUGGAGCUGGAGUUGAACCGGCGACUUCAGGAUCACAGCGUUUCAGAUGAGGAACAUCCUACAGCCCUCCGCUCUACCAACUGAGCUAUCAGGGUGUUCUCUAGUCACAAUUGCAGAAAACAUAGUGGCUGAGACAACACCCUAUGCCCACACAACUAUUGGAACCCAUAGUCAAUCAAAAGCCCAGCCCUACCUGCAGAACAAAGCUUUGCAGUUUGUACCCAACAGUCAUUGCCA